ACAAGUACCGUGAGGGAAAGUUGCAAAGCACUUUGAAGAGAGAGUUAAAGAGGACGUGAAACCGGUAAGGUGGAAACGGAUAGAGUCGGCGUAUCAUUCAAUUAUUCAGUUACAUUAUUUUUAUGUUGUGACCUCUGAGCUCCAGAUUGGGACAGAGGGAAUCAGCAUAAUUUUUUGUGGUGCAUUUACUUGAUUGGUGCUUGGGGAUGUUUGAGGCAGAUUUGUUUCCGUCGUUUUGAGGCCAGCUUGCUGGUACCCAAAUGGUGUUAGCAUUUUUUGUCUUGGGCAUUUGAGUAUGGCUCACGUGUAUUUAUUGGACAGAUCUGAGUGUAAGUUACGGUCGCAUGCGACACGUGCUUUUCAAUUAGUUCGGUCCAGUUAAUGCUCUCGUACUCGUUUCCCAUGUAAAAGCCGGUCAUCUAUCCGACCCGUCUUGAAACACGGACCAAGGAGUUUAUCGUGUGCGCAAGUUUUUGGGUGUUAAAAACUUAAAAGCGAAAUGAAAGUAAAUGACUCUUUAGAGUCUGAUGUGCGAUCUUGUAAAAAAGUGUAGCAUGGCCCCAUUCUAACUGUUUACAGUAGGGUGGCGGAAGAGCGUACGCGGUGAGACCCGAAAGAUGGUGAACUAUUCCUGAGCAGGACGAAGCCAGAGGAAACUCUGGUGGAAGUCCGAAGCGGUUCUGACGUGCAAAUCGAUCGUCUGACUUGGGUAUAGGGGCGAAAGACUAAUCGAACCAUCUAGUAGCUGGUUCCUUCCGA
Molecule: ribosomal RNA, 759 nt
Filed under: Meloidogyne paranaensis
Lineage: Eukaryota; Metazoa; Nematoda; Chromadorea; Rhabditida; Meloidogynidae
Description: eukaryotic LSU rRNA
Rfam family: Eukaryotic large subunit ribosomal RNA
Source: RNAcentral